GCCGGCUUAGCUCAGUUGGUAGAGCAAUGGUUUUGUAACCCAUAGGUCGUCAGUUCGACUCUGACAGCCGGCU
Molecule: non-coding RNA, 73 nt
Organism: Candidatus Kaiserbacteria bacterium
Lineage: Bacteria; Candidatus Kaiseribacteriota
Source: Rfam